RNAcentral lists this ribosomal RNA (406 nucleotides) under uncultured bacterium. Its description in RNAcentral is "bacterial SSU rRNA". It matches the Rfam family "Bacterial small subunit ribosomal RNA", at positions 356 to 773 of the family's 1533-position model. The record is from RNAcentral.
UGGGAAUAUUGGACAAUGGGGGAAACCCUGAUCCAGCCAUGCCGCGUGAAGGAUGAAGGCCCUCGGGUCGUAAACUUCUUUUAGCAGGGAAAAAGGGAAACUUGAUGGUACCUGCAGAAAAAGCACCGGCUAACUCCGUGCCAGCAGCCGCGGUAAUACGGAGGGUGCAAGCGUUGCUCGGAAUUAUUGGGCGUAAAGCGCGUGUAGGCGGCUUUAUAAGUCUGGUGUGAAAUCCCGGAGCUUAACUUCGGAACUGCACUGGAUACUGUAAGGCUAGAGGACGAGAGAGGAUGGUGGAAUUCCUGGUGUAGGGGUGAAAUCCGUAGAUAUCAGGAGGAACAUCAGUGGCGAAGGCGGCCAUCUGGCUCGUACCUGACGCUGAGACGCGAAAGCGUGGGGAGCAAAC